This 54-nucleotide non-coding RNA is filed under the name unclassified sequences. RNAcentral's name for it is "Li+-I sequence". It matches the Rfam family "nhaA-I RNA". Rfam says of the family: Acidobacteria, Alphaproteobacteria, Betaproteobacteria and Gammaproteobacteria, Verrucomicrobia, cand. division NC10. The record is from Rfam by way of RNAcentral.
GGGUCCGCCGGCGAGCACUGGCGGAGGUUAUUGCGGAUGGUCGGGCCGCCAUCC